This 253-nucleotide ribosomal RNA is filed under the name uncultured bacterium. RNAcentral's name for it is "partial 16S ribosomal RNA". It matches the Rfam family "Bacterial small subunit ribosomal RNA", at positions 524 to 776 of the family's 1533-position model. The record is from RNAcentral.
UACGAAGGGGGCUAGCGUUGCUCGGAAUCACUGGGCGUAAAGCGCACGUAGGCGGAUUGCUAAGUCAGGGGUGAAAUCCUGGAGCUCAACUCCAGAACUGCCUUCGAUACUGGCGAUCUUGAGUCCGGGAGAGGUGAGUGGAACUGCGAGUGUAGAGGUGAAAUUCGUAGAUAUUCGCAAGAACACCAGUGGCGAAGGCGGCUCACUGGCCCGGUACUGACGCUGAGGUGCGAAAGCGUGGGGAGCAAACAGG